AGCAGCCGCGGUAAUUCCAGCUCCAAUAGCGUAUAUUAAAGUUGUUGCAGUUAAAAAGCUCGUAGUUGAAUUUCGGGGUUAGUAGGUUGGUCAUGCCACUGGUAUGUACUGAUCUUACUGAUUCCUCCUUCCUGAUGAACCGUAAUGCCAUUAAUUUGGUGUUGCGGGGAGACUGGACUGUUACUUUGAAAAAAUUAGAGUGUUUAAAGCAGGCUAACGCUUGAAUACAUUAGCAUGGAAUAAUGAAAUAGGACGUUCGAUCCUAUUUUGUUGGUUUCUAGGAUUGACGUAAUGAUUAAUAGGGAUAGUUGGGGGCAUUAGUAUUCAAUUGUCAGAGGUGAAAUUCUUGGAUUUAUUGAAGACUAACUACUGCGAAAGCAUUUGCCAAGGAUGUUUUCAUUAAUCAAGAACGAAAGUUAGGGGAUCGAAGACGAUCAGAUACCGUCGUAGUCUUAACCAUAAACUAUGCCGACUAGGGAUCGGAUGAUGUUAAUUUUUUAAUGACUCAUUCGCGCCUUAA
Molecule: ribosomal RNA, 520 nt
Filed under: uncultured Glomus
Lineage: Eukaryota; Fungi; Glomeromycota; Glomeromycetes; Glomerales; Glomeraceae
Description: SSU rRNA
Rfam family: Eukaryotic small subunit ribosomal RNA
Source: RNAcentral